UGCUGAGGGGCGGCCCUGCGGGGGUUAGCUGAGGGAGGUUCGUUCCUGAGAGAAAAAGGCAGCCCCUGCUCAGCUGGUCGCAGCUCUCGUACCCGGGAGGCGGCACUUGCCGCCUUUUCCACGUGGUUGGUGAUGCAACUGGGCGUUAAACGGCUUUCGUGCCAACCUCUGGAAAGGCCGGUUUCGAGCUUGCCAAAACACACCGAGAUACGACCUUCGGCGCCUCCCCCACGCCGCUCUGUGCCGGGACUCCUCCCUACCCCCUUCAGGCAGCCCCUCCCGCGGAAGGUACCUGAGGGCCGCGCUGCGCUCCUCCCCGCGAGCCGAAGCGGCGAGGCCCGUCCUGUGAAAGGCGAGAGCCACCGCUGCCCCCAAGCUGUGGGGCCGCCUGCCGGCCUACAGAUCGCUUCCAUUGUGAUUCAUCCCAUUCGGAGAAGGUGGCACCUUCCGAUCCCCAUUUGCCCUUUUCACUGUCAUGGAGGGGUACGAGAACUGCCUCUGGCAGACAUUAAAGCGCUGCUGAUGGAACGCCUCAUCUCACAAGAGCACGAGAAGUCGCUCCCACCGCCCGGCCGCUUCUCUGCCCGCAGGCCCUGCGUGCCUUACAGCUGUAACUUCAACUGCAAGGUCCAGAGACAACAACCAGGUGCAGAAAAGAAAAGUUUUACCAGGAAAUAAUCACGCGUGGGGAGCCCACGGUGGUCUUCUUGCAAAACCUGCAGAAGAGCUCUCAGUGACUUCUCUUUUGCUUGUGGGGAUCACAGUCCCACAGUGCUGUUUGUUAGGACAGCACCUGAAAAGCUAUUUUAUUUUGUUUGAACGUAGGCUCGUGUAUAUUUUGCAACGCAAAUAACGUCUAAAAAAAAAAAAGUGGAGAAAAAGUAUUUAAAACAUUAAAUUCUCAGGCAGUGUGAGAUGAUGUGAGAUCACGGCUGAAAGAAGCCUCACUGCCACAAGGACUUUGUGAAUUUGGAAUAAGCUCACACUUCAGUUUUGAUUUGUGAUGAAUCUUAUUCAUGUAUUGGACGUUCUCUGCUGUGCUGUAUUCAUCAAUCUGAUAUGUCAAAUUUUAUAGAUAUCAAAAAUCCAUCCCGAUCUGCUGAAACCGGAGAAAGGAAAAACAAGCUGUGCUGAACAUGUCUCUCUGGUGUGUGAUAAAAAGUGAUAAGCUGACUUUCAUUGAAACUGUCAUGUUUUCAUCUGUUAGCUAUCAUUGGCUUUAUAUUGGUAAACUGCACCGAACCUAUCCCAUAGCAAAUUUAAUAUCAGCAAUCCGAGAGAUCAAUGUAUUUAAGACAUGGCCUAAGAAGAAGGCAAGGAGUAAAACUUACAUUUGUAUCAUUUUAAAAAUCAGACACCAUUUUUAUCUCUGCAAUAGUUAGAACAAGAUGUACAGGAAGAAGAAAAAAGAGAUAAAUGUUUGACACUUCAGCAACUUUACCAUCAUCAACAUGUCUCAAUUUUAAAGUAAUAAUGAAAAGCAAAGGGGAUCCACCUUAUGCCUGAGUUAGCUGAGAUCACCUCUGAGCCACAACAUACCAGCUGCUUACCACCACCAUCCAAUACCACAGAACAGGGUAACAGACAUAAGUAUGCCAUUUAUUUGAAACUGCAGGAACUCUGUAAGCAGAGUGCUGUUAUCUGAACUGGAAUUUGACCAGGAUGUUUACUUACUGAUUUUAACAAAACAAUUGCAGUAUGCUGACCGAGAAAGAAGACAUUUCCAAGGAACAGUAUCAUUCAUGGCCUCCACUCAUGGGUAAAGCUGGAGCUGCAAGAACAAAAUGCCCCAUGACAGAACCACGGGGGUCUCUGCUCUGCUGCAUGAUGGCAGGCAGAGCUCCAGAAGGAAGUGCUCUGGUUUGGAACUGUGUUACAAUUUUCCAGGUUGAAACAGAACCAACAUCAUUCAAGAAUUUGCAAUAUGAGACUUGAGCAUUUUAUUUUGUUUGGUAGCUGAGCUUCUCUUGGGAUAUCUUAUUCAGAGUCAGGUGUCAAGUAUAAGUGAUACCAGCAAAAUCCAAAUCAUCCAACGUUGUACUGUAUCUUCCUUAAGGCAAAUGGGGGUAGAGGCAGAAAGAAGCUUGUUUCUUUUAGUGGGAAAAUAUGUACUAGAAGACUACAGUAAUUUUAUAUUCUUAUCUGUUUACCUUCACCUCAAUAGCAUGAAGAACACGAGAAACCUACCAACUAGCUUGCCUGUAUUAGGAUCUCAGUACAGUAAGUUAUUAUGCCUCACCUACAAUAACCACUUUACUUAGAGCAAAAAAGGGGCAUUUCCUCAAACACGUUCACUUAACAUGAUUGAAUCAUUUUGAGAUGCAGAACCAAAGCCUUGAAAACAUUUACUGAAAAAGUAAAUUUUAAUUUGACUUUAUUAUAAAGAAAAGUUCAAAAAGCUACCAGUUAAUGUUUUCUUUUGAUCGUGUAAUAUUUCAACUAAAAACUAAUUACAACAUUUUAGUUAUUCCAGAUUUAAAAAACAAACAAACAGACCAAAAAAAAACCAAAACCAACCCACAGUGUUCCCAUUGUGCAGGAAGUUUGGGGAUGUCAGCUGUUUUACUGCUCUCACUCACAGAUUUUAAACUGUUGCACCUGGCUGCAGAAUGGGAUUUCUAAGUAGAUGUAAUAUUAGUUGCGACCCUGAAUUUUAGUUUCAGCAACCUAUUAAUGUCAUCUGAGUGAAUAAACACUGUUAGAUGUCAAGAAAGACUCUACUCCAUUGUCUGAGCAAACCAUUUACCAGAAGUUAACAGCCUGCCAGUUACAAGUGAUUUAUAAAUGUUUACCUCACUGUGACUGUUAACAUCAGAUUACAAAAUGUAUAAAAAUCUAUUUGCUUUCUUUCAGCAGUGUUUUUUUAGAGGCUUUAUUUCGAAAUACAGAUCUGACCCAGACCUGUGUAUUUCACAAAAAAUUUCUGAGUUCAAAACUCUACACUAUGUAAGUACAUGCUACAUAAGCAUAGGUAUCCAAUGUGUAUCCUAUGUGGUGUCGAUGCUCCUCACUCACCAGCUUUACAAAAAAACCUGUCUGGCUACAGCAACCUUCAAGCUUAACCUCAGUCAUGCUGCUUGUAAAAAUAAAUUAGGAUCCAUUUUAUGGUCUAAAAUCACUAGCACUCAUUUAUGAAUUCAAUUUCACUAACUAGUUUCUAAACUUGAAUAACUUGUGUGCUCUACUACUUACGCUGAAACAAGAAGCCAAGGAGAUGGGGGAAGGGAGCAGGGAGCAUUGAGCAUUUAAAAGCAGCUUCAUAGACUACAGUUCUUUUUCUUUUUUUUUUUUUUUUUUUUUUUUUUAAGAAAAUUCUUUGUUCAGUAUGUGACUCCAUGUAACUGUCACAUGACAGAAUCGCAGUUACUUACAUAGGAAACUGGCUCCAUGGUUAUUUGGUCCCUGUUGAACAGGGAACUAUGGUUUUGUUUUGGUUUGGUUUUUUUGUCUCUUCAAAAUAAUCCACCUUUUACUUCUACUUUAUACCAUUUCACACCCUCUGUCACUGGAAACCGGGCCGCAUUCUUUCCCAAUGAAUAACAACAGCAACAAAAGAAACUCAAAUUUACAGCACUGCAGGCAGCUUAAGACCACCUUAUGGUUUCAGAUACAAAACAUGACAGUGCCUUUUUAAGUUUCCAAUUUAUUCAGGGGCUAGGUAAAAAAAUAGGGUUAGCUUGGACAUGCCAAACUCAUGUCACAUCCAAGUCACAAGGCCGAGGGAGUCAGAUCUUUAGCUCAACUCCACCCUGCUCAUAAUAUUCAGAUUCCUAUCUGUAACCAGAUUUAGCUCACACACAAUUCAGGAUGUCGCAAUUUGGACGUGGGCCCAUCUUAAUAGGCAAAAAAAUAAAAAAUAAUCUGUUAAUACAACCAGCACGUAAAAAAUGUUGAAGCUUUCUUCAAAUGGAUGAUCAGACAAUGAACUCUUUGAAUGAUUUGAUUCCUGUUGUCUACGUUCCCCAAAACCUGGAAGAAAGAACAUAGCUUAAAAUAACAUUGAAAGAGGAGCGAUUCAUUUGUUUGGUGCACCUUUUCCAUUACUGAGGUGUGAUCUCUUCUUUUGUGCAGUGGUGAUGGUUAGAGAGACCAAUGGGUACUUUGAUAAGAAUUACAUCCUUAUCUCACUAUUGUUAUGAACUGGACAAUUUUCGACAUUACACAUUUACUUUUCAAAUUCAGCAUCGAUUAAAGGCACCUAAAAAGCAAAUCCCUAUCCAGAUGAUGUUUAAACCUAUUGUUAGAAUUGAUAUAACAGAAACGGCCCUUCCUCAAUUCAAGCUUUUUUAAUUUACCUGUCUACUCUACAUAGCCAGGUUUGCUGUUUUGUGGCCAGCAGAUUGUAUCACCUGGUUGUAUGACUGUUGCCACUGUCACUCACAUGUUCUUCCCCAGGUUCAGCAAGAGGGCAUCUACUAACCAUAGGAGCACCAAAACAUCAAACAGGCAUGCAGGAAUGAAAGUCCCAAAGUAUUUUGAUGCAGGUCUUCAGCUCAGCUGGAACUCCCUAUGUAAAUGGCAAAAAAUUCAUGACAAUAUUUUUUAAUUUGAAUGUUAAUAGUAUGCUCUGAUUUGU
Molecule: long non-coding RNA, 4576 nt
Filed under: Gallus gallus (chicken)
Lineage: Eukaryota; Metazoa; Chordata; Aves; Galliformes; Phasianidae
Description: long non-coding RNA NONGGAT007188
Source: RNAcentral